This 440-nucleotide ribosomal RNA is filed under the name uncultured bacterium. RNAcentral describes it as "partial 16S ribosomal RNA". It matches the Rfam family "Bacterial small subunit ribosomal RNA", at positions 338 to 795 of the family's 1533-position model. The record is from RNAcentral.
CCUACGGGAGGCAGCAGUGGGGAAUAUUGCACAAUGGGGGAAACCCUGAUGCAGCGACGCCGCGUGAGUGAAGAAGUCUCUCGGUAUGUAAAGCUCUAUUAGCAGGGAAGAAAAUGACGGUACUUGAUUAUGAAGCCCCGGCUAACUACGUGCCAGCAGCCGCGGGAAUACGUAGGGGGCAAGCGUUAUUCGGAUUUACUGGUUGUAAAGGGAGCGUAGACGGCAGCACAGGACUGGAGUGAAAUGCCGGGGCUUAACCCCGGAACGGCUUUGGAAACUGUGCAGCUAGAGUGCAGGAGAGGAAGGUGGAAUUCCUGGUGUAGCGGUGAAAUGCGUAGAUAUUAGGAGGAACACCAGUGGCGAAGGCGGCUUUCUGGACUGUAACUGACGUUGAGGCGCGAAAGCGUGGGGAGCAAACAGGAUUAGAUACCCGAGUAGUC